This 73-nucleotide transfer RNA is filed under the name Ovis aries (sheep). It matches the Rfam family "tRNA". From Rfam's summary of the family: Transfer RNA (tRNA) molecules are approximately 80 nucleotides in length. Their secondary structure includes four short double-helical elements and three loops (D, anti-codon, and T loops). The record is from Rfam by way of RNAcentral. Lineage: Eukaryota; Metazoa; Chordata; Mammalia; Artiodactyla; Bovidae.
UCCCUGGUGGUUCAGUGGUUAGAACUCCGCACUUCCACAGCAGGGGACCUGGAUUCGAUCCCUGGUUGGGGAA